The sequence is a ribosomal RNA, 431 nucleotides long. It matches the Rfam family "Bacterial small subunit ribosomal RNA", at positions 49 to 467 of the family's 1533-position model.
UAAUACAUGCAAGUCGAGCGGACAGAAGGGAGCUUGCUCCCGGAUGUUAGCGGCGGACGGGUGAGUAACACGUGGGUAACCUGCCUGUAAGACUGGGAUAACUCCGGGAAACCUGAGAUAAUACCGGAUAGUUCCUUGAACUGCAUGGUUCAAAGACAAAGACGGUUUCGGCCUGUCACUUACAGAUGGACCCGCGGCGCAUUAGCUAGUUGGUGGGGUAAAGGGUCACCAAGGGGACGAUGCGUAGCCGACUUGAGAGGGUGAUCGGCCACACUGGGAAUGAGACCCGGCCCCGAAUCCUACGGGAGGCAGCCGUAGGGAAUUUUCCGCAAGGACGAAAGUCUGACGGAGCACCGCCGCGUGAUUGAGAAGGUUUUUGGAUCGGAAAGGUACGUUGUUAGGGAAGGACAAGUGCGAGAGUAAUUGUUCGC